This 407-nucleotide ribosomal RNA is filed under the name Sphingomonas sp. Its description in RNAcentral is "bacterial SSU rRNA". It matches the Rfam family "Bacterial small subunit ribosomal RNA", at positions 22 to 457 of the family's 1533-position model. The record is from RNAcentral. Lineage: Bacteria; Pseudomonadati; Pseudomonadota; Alphaproteobacteria; Sphingomonadales; Sphingomonadaceae.
GCUCAGAAUGAACGCUGGCGGCAUGCCUAACACAUGCAAGUCGAACGAAGGCUUCGGCCUUAGUGGCGCACGGGUGCGUAACGCGUGGGAAUCUGCCCCUUGGUUCGGAAUAACAGUUGGAAACGACUGCUAAUACCGGAUGAUGACGUAAGUCCAAAGAUUUAUCGCCGAGGGAUGAGCCCGCGUAGGAUUAGGUAGUUGGUGUGGUAAAGGCGCACCAAGCCGACGAUCCUUAGCUGGUCUGAGAGGAUGAUCAGCCACACUGGGACUGAGACACGGCCCAGACUCCUACGGGAGGCAGCAGUGGGGAAUAUUGGACAAUGGGCGAAAGCCUGAUCCAGCAAUGCCGCGUGAGUGAUGAAGGCCUUAGGGUUGUAAAGCUCUUUUACCCGGGAUGAUAAUGACAG